CCUACGGGCGGCAGCAGUGAGGAAUAUUGGUCAAUGGGCUUACGCCUGAACCAGCCAAGUCGCGUGAGGGAAGACUGCCCUAUGGGUUGUAAACCUCUUUUGUCAGGGAGCAAUUGGCGCUACGUGUAGCGUUAUCGAGAGUACCUGAAGAAAAAGCAUCGGCUAACUCCGUGCCAGCAGCCGCGGUAAUACGGAGGAUGCGAGCGUUAUCCGGAUUUAUUGGGUUUAAAGGGUGCGUAGGCGGAAUGCCAAGUCAGCGGGAAAAUCGCGGGGCUCAACCUCGCUCCGCCGUUGAAACUGGCGUUCUUGAGUGGGCGAGAAGUAUGCGGAAGGCGUGGUGUAGCGGUGAAAUGCAUAGAUAUCACGCAGAACUCCGAUUGCGAAGGCAGCAUACCGGCGCCCAACUGACGCUGAAGCACGAAAGCGUGGGUAUCGAACAGGAUUAGAUACCCUAGUAGUC
This 460-nucleotide ribosomal RNA is filed under the name uncultured bacterium. RNAcentral describes it as "partial 16S ribosomal RNA". It matches the Rfam family "Bacterial small subunit ribosomal RNA", at positions 338 to 795 of the family's 1533-position model. The record is from RNAcentral.